UGGCCAGUGAGUCUUACCCCUCCUCAAUGUUAAUGUGUGCUUCCUGUCGAAGGCUGGAGCUUUUCCAGAUCUCCGGAGCCCUUUUCAGCUCAUUAGCAUUUGUGCUUGCCCUGGGGGAAGAAUCCACCAUUCCGGCUCAGGCAAUCAGCUGCCAGCUCCUCCCCUCUGUGAGCAAUGAUCCUGCCUUCAGACCUUGCCUGAACAUUCCUCAUAGCACUUGCCUUCUUUUUCCUGAAAUCAAGGCAAUAUGUCAGUAUUGAGUGAAUCCAGACAUCAUAGCUCGGUAAGGCAUAGUGAUAUUGAUUGCUUCUUUGUCUCAGGAGGUAUAAGAACUGGCAGAUCUCAAAGGGGAAAUUUCUGGUAUCCUGUGUCUUCAGACUUUGUUCUUCUGUUCAAGUAACUCUC
This is a long non-coding RNA of Mus musculus (house mouse), 405 nucleotides long. RefSeq annotates it as predicted gene, 32476. The record is from RefSeq and is a predicted model, not a curated record. The transcript has 3 exons. Lineage: Eukaryota; Metazoa; Chordata; Mammalia; Rodentia; Muridae.